This 1473-nucleotide ribosomal RNA is filed under the name uncultured prokaryote. Its description in RNAcentral is "partial 16S ribosomal RNA". It matches the Rfam family "Bacterial small subunit ribosomal RNA". The record is from RNAcentral.
AGGGUUUGAUCCUGGCUCAGGAUGAACGCUAGCGGGAGGCUUAACACAUGCAAGUCGAGGGGCAGCAUUCACUUCGGUGAGAUGGCGACCGGCGCACGGGUGCGUAACGCGUAUGCAACCUACCUUAUACAAAGGGAUAGCCCAUGGAAACGUGGAUUAAUACCUUAUGGUACUAUAAAGCUACAUAGUUUAAUAGUUAAAACUUCGGUGGUAUAAGAUGGGCAUGCGUAUGAUUAGGUAGUUGGUAGGGUAAAGGCCUACCAAGCCGACGAUCAUUAGGGGUUCUGAGAGGAUUAUCCCCCACACUGGUACUGAGACACGGACCAGACUCCUACGGGAGGCAGCAGUGAGGAAUAUUGGUCAAUGGACGAGAGUCUGAACCAGCUAUCCCGCGUGCAGGAUGACGGCCCUAUGGGUUGUAAACUGCUUUUCUAUGCCAAGAAAUCUUACUACGUGUAGUAAGUUGACGGUAGCAUAGGAAUAAGGACCGGCUAACUCCGUGCCAGCAGCCGCGGUAAUACGGAGGGUCCAAGCGUUAUCCGGAUUUAUUGGGUUUAAAGGGUGCGCAGGUGGGAAUGUAAGUCAGUGGUGAAAUACUGCCGCUUAACGGUAGAACUGCCAUUGAUACUGCAUUUCUUGAGUAUGGUUGAGGUAGGCGGAAUGUGUCGUGUAGCGGUGAAAUGCAUAGAUAUGACACAGAACGCCAAUUGCGAAGGCAGCUUACUAAGCCAUUACUGACGCUGAGGCACGAAAGCGUGGGGAGCGAACAGGAUUAGAUACCCUGGUAGUCCACGCCGUAAACGAUGUUCACUCGCUGUCUGCGAUACACAGUAGGCGGCUAAGCGAAAGCAUUAAGUGAACCACCUGGGGAGUACGAUCGCAAGGUUGAAACUCAAAGGAAUUGACGGGGGCCCGCACAAGCGGAGGAACAUGUGGUUUAAUUCGAUGAUACGCGAGGAACCUUACCUGGGCUUAAAUGUAGAUUGCAUAACUUAGAAAUAGGUUUUCCCUUCGGGGCUAUUUACAAGGUGCUGCAUGGUUGUCGUCAGCUCGUGCCGUGAGGUGUCGGGUUAAGAACCCCUAUCGUUAGUUGCCAGCGGAUAAUGCCGGGGACUCUAGCGAGACUGCCACCGUAAGGUGAGAGGAAGGUGGGGAUGACGUCAAAUCAGCACGGCCCUUAUGUCCAGGGCUACACACGUGUUACAAUGGCAGGUACAAAGGGCAGCUACACAGCGAUGUGAUGCUAAUCUCUAAAGCCUGUUCCUAAGUUCGAAUUGAUGGCUGCAACUCGACUUCAUGAAGUUGGAAUUGCUAGUAAUCGUGAAUCAGAUAUGUCACGGUGAAUGUGUUCCUGGGUCUUGUACUCACCGCCCGUCACGUCAUGAAAGGUGGAGGCACCCGAAGUACCGUUAUCAUUUAUGAGCGGUCCUAAGGUGAAACCACUGAUUGGGACGAAGUCGUAACAAGGUAGCC